Molecule: long non-coding RNA, 5977 nt
Filed under: Medicago truncatula (barrel medic)
Lineage: Eukaryota; Viridiplantae; Streptophyta; Magnoliopsida; Fabales; Fabaceae
Description: long non-coding RNA (MTRU_LNC008840)
Source: RNAcentral
CUCAUUCAACAACCCAUUUUUCUAAAACAACACUUCCAUCUCUCAAACACUCUCUUUCUCUUACUCUUCAACAUUUCUUCCCUCUUGCUGGAAAUCUUCACUGUCCUCUACCACCCCACAAACCUUUUAUUCUUUGCACUCAAAAUGACUCCGUCACUUUUACCGUCAUCGAAUCUUCAGCAAAUUUCAACCAUCUCUCAACCAACCAACACCCCAAAAAUCUCCAAGACUUUAAUCACCUUGUUCCAAAACUAACAGAAAAAACAACAUUUGAUGAUGGUAAUGACAUAUUCAUCUUUCCGUUGUUGUCUUUGCAAGUCACGGUUUUCCCCAACCAUGGUCUUUGCAUUGCCAUCAAAUAUUGCCAUGUGAUGGAUGAUAACUGUUGCAAUCAUUUAAUGAAAUCUUGGUCUUUUAUCCAUCGUAAAGGUGAUGUAGUUGACUUCAAGUCGCAACCUUGUUUUGACAGACAAGUUUUGCGAGACCCAGAAGGACUUGAAGAUUUAUUCUUAAAAGGCUAUUAUGAAAAAAGAAAAACAUGGGAGGAUAAUAGACUCAUUGGUAAGACUCAAAGUAUUGAAAAACAUGAUGAAGAUUGUGUUAAGGCAAUUAUUGUUUUCGGAAAAGAAGAAAUCGAGGGGAUGAAAAAAUGGGUAUUGAAUGAAUGGAAGAAAAAAGAUCAAGAAAUCCAAGCACCACAAUUUCUAUCUAAAUAUGUUGUAACUUGUGCUUUUGUUUGGGUUAGUUUGGUUAAAGCAAUGCAUAGAAGUAAUCAUAAUAUUGAUGAAAAAGACGAGUAUUUUUGUUUCACAGGUGAUUGCAGAGACAGACUAGGGUACACAAUACCGGAGGGGUAUUUCGGAAACUGUUUAGCGUUUAAUCAUGCAACGAUGAAGAGAAGAGAUGUGAAAGGAGAAGAUGGUUUUGUGAAUGCUGUUAAGGUAAUUGAGAAGGCAAUAACUGAGAUGAAAAAUGAACCUCUUAAAGAUGCAACAAAAUGGGAAGGUUCAGCUAAAAAGAUAGGUGAGUUUGGAAAUUUGUUAUUUGUAAGGGGGUCACCUAAGUUUAAUGUUUAUGAGACUGAUUUUGGAUUUGGAAAACCAGUUAAAGUUGAAAUGAUGCAUUCAUUAAAGUGUAUGUCUAUUGCUGAAAGUGGAGAUAGAGAAGGUGGACUUGAGGUUGGGUUGGCAUUCAAAUCUGAGGAUUAUGAAUGUUUCUCUUCUGUCAUUCAACAAGGACUACAAGCUUUGAAAUUUUAAUUGGUUCGUGAGUGUUUUAUCUUUUAAUGUGAAUUUUGGAUGGGAAAUGUAGUACUCCAACAAUGAAUCAUGGAUUGUGGGUUUUGAUUGAUAAUUUGAGAUUGAUUUAACUCUUCAAUCCAAAAUGUAUAAUAAUGAUGAACUUUUGAUUUAUAUUGAGUAAACUUUGGAUAUGUAUCUUGUCGAAUUUUUUAAGAAGUUUUCUAGAAAAAAUUAACACAUGGGGAUUAAAAGACCUCAUUUUUAAUUGAAUUAAUUGAUUGGAACGGGGUGUUCCUACCGCGAAGUGUUGUCUCUCUUCUCGAUUACUUUACAUCCUCUUCAUUGAGUAAAAAACACAGAAAAUGUCUAAUGUUUAUUUGGCUUGCAACAAUUUGAAAAUUUAGGAAGUACGGGAUGAGGUUGUUUUCUCUUCAAAGAGCUUUGAGGUCGAAGAGUUUAAAGAAACUAUCGAAAUGACCUCUUUGAGGUGGUUUUUAGCUAGGAAAAAAAUAGGGUCUUUGUGUAUUUUCAGUGGUUUUCAAACCCUCUUCUUUAACUUACUUCUCGAUUUUAUGGGAUUGUUUUAGUUGGGUAAAAUACCCCUUAUAGUUUUUGAGUUGUGGGUCAAGUAUUAUUUGUACUUCUCUCCGUUCAUCAAUAAAUUUUGUUGUUAAAAAAAAAUCGUGAUGACAUUUUUGCAAUUAAGUUGAUAUCGUGAAGCAUUGUAAAUCAAUCAUUAUGCAAUCCACAUCAAUUUACGUUAAUAUAAGAGGAGUAAAACAUUGUAAGUCAAAAAAAUCUUUUGAACCACAAAAUUAUUUGAACAAACUUAUUGACCAACAAAUUGGUAACAAAGAGAAAAAUGAGAGAACAAACUCAUUAGAAGUUUCCUUUAGUUCAUUCACAUGCUAGAAAUAUUAUCAAGCUGUUCUUGAAAGAUGUUGAUGAAAUUAAUCAUUCUAGACCUCUCAAGAGUCAAACCAACCUUAAUUCCACCUCCACCACCUCUACAAUCAGAAAGAGAAAUCGAACCGGAUGAAUCAAGAUGAACUGCAUCAGAUUUCUUAGGCUUCCCCCAUCCAAAAUCUGUCUCAUAAACAGCCAAAUUCGGUGAACCAGCAAUCACAUUAACAGACUUACCAGGUUUUGACAUUUCCCUAUUUCCUUGAGUAUGGUCCUCAACCACCUUGAGCCGCCACCAACUUGUCUCUGACAGGUAUCCACCCUCAACUCUCGCCCCACUAUUUCCUUCAAUCGUGUUACAUGACAAAUUUUAGAUGACGAGUCACUAAUUUUUAGAUGGAUCUAGAUAUAUUUAUGGGUUAAAUAAAUUCUAUGUUCUUAUAAAUAUUAUGUUCCAAAAAUAGCCCCAUCGGGAGUUACUGCAACGAACAAUAGUUAAAAACUAUUCCCAAAUAUUUUUUAGAUCGGUUAUAGGUUUAACGACUUUAAAAAGUUAUAAUUUGCUAUCUGAAAGAAUUUGUUACAUCAGUUACACGUUUAACCGCUCUAAAACAUUGUACUUAUUUUUUUAAAAGAAGUUAAAUUAGCUCACCCGCUCCUGAGAGAAUCAAACCUGAAACCUUGAGGAGCACACUUCCAAAUCCCAAGUCAAUACAAAAAAAACUAACCCAAGUGGGUUUAACGUCGCACUUAUUUGAACUAGGUUGGACCAAAAACGAGGGUUCUUUUUCGGCAUAUACUCUAUUAACCGAUUUAAAUAGUAGCAAACGGUUUAUAACUAGCAUUCGCAGACAAAUGAUAGUUAACUAUUGAUGUGAGUAUUUUCUGAAAUUUUAAGGUGCUUGUGAGCAAAUGCUAGAUGCUUAAAGAGCAAUUUCCCAUCCUUUAAGACAACCUAGAACAUAUAUUCUAAGUUUUUACUCCUUUCAAUGAGCACAUGACAAUUUUAAGGUGCAUACUAUAUGUUUGUCGAGAAAAUAUUUAUUAUAUAGUAAUUAAGUCCCUUAACUUAUUUAUUAGGUUCAUUAUGGUCCUAUAAUUAAUUUAUUAUGUUAAGUCUCUUAACUCUACUUUUGUCCGGCAAAUUAUAACUUUUUGUUAGUUAUUGUGAAAAAACGUUGAAAGUGAUACAUGUGGCAUUGUGAUGUGGCAAAAUCCUCUCAUUCAUCUUCUUCAAUUCCUAUUCUUCUAUCUUCUUUUCAUCUCACUCAAAGAAAAACACGCGCGCACACACACAACUUCGCAAAAAGACAAACAGAACCACAGUCUCAUUCAUUCAAAAUUAUAUAGAAUUGUAACCAAAUAAGUUUCACAUUUUACAAAACUUAAACGUUUCAUCAAACAACUCAUAAAAUAGUCAAAGUUGAAGAAACAAAUUCAACAACCCCAUAAGCACAUAAAGUGUAGAAAUAAUGUGAUAAUUGUUGCAGAUUCAUGCUUGCUUAAAAAAUUAUUCAAACUAUUGCAUUCAAAAUAGUUUCAAAGAAUAAUAUGUGAAUUUAAUUUGAGCUUUGAUAAUAUAUAUAUAAGUAGUGAGGAGAAAGAGGGGAACCAAACGGUGUUGUAUUUUCACCCAAAAGCUUACUAAUUUCACACAACAAAAACAAAAACAAAAUCAGAGUUUCAAAUAUGGGUCUCUUUGGCAAAAAAAAAAAAAAUGACGUUUAUAAAGUGAUGAAUGCUCUCUUUGUAAACUCUUAUCAAGAGUCAAUCUUUUCAACGUAUGAUUUGGAUUUUUCUCAAUACACAUCAUUGAUCAACACUAUUGGACUUGAUACUUGUAAGGUCUAAUUCAUCCUUAUAAAACAUGUGUUAACUUGGAUUUUUCAGAAUCAAUAAUGCAUGCGCAAAUGAAGGUGAUACAAAUCAAAGUUUGAUUGAGGGUUGUUUGCGGCAGCAACAGGUGGCCAAUGACGGUCUUAAUGGCGGAGGAAGAGGGGGAAGAUCAAUGGAGAAAGACCAAACGAGAGAGCGUGCACCAAAUGUAUAACCUUUUGGGUUUGUUCAGGAUGCAAGUUUCUGUUCAUUGUUCAAGAAGAUGGAAGAAGAUGAUUUUUCACACAUAAAAAUAACAAAAUGACUAAUUUAACUGACGAAAGUAGAGUUGAAUAAUCUAAACGUAACAAAAAAAAAAACUGCCAUAAGACUAAUAAACAAGUUAAGGGACUUAAUAUAUAAUAUAGCCAUUUUUUGCAUAUAUGAGGAAGAAAAAUGUAACUUGUUUCAUCACUGACUUACUCCUAUUUUAAUACAAGUAGAGCAAAUAAGGGAAAAUUUGUAUAAAUAAUGAGUUAAAUAUAUUUUUCGUCCCUACAAUUAUUUUAAUUUUUGAUGCUAGUUCCUCUAAAAUUUUCCUUCGUUUUUUGUUCUCCAAAAUUUUUAAAUCACCACUUUUUGUCCAUGUUUUUAAGUCAAACCAUGUGUGUUACUAAAAUUUUGAGUGAGCUUUUGUCGAAAUGUUUGAAUAUUAUAAAAAUCUUUCAAAGAGAAUUAGAAUUUAGGCUUAAUAGGUCAUUUGGUCUCUUAAUUAAUUUCAAAUUUUUAUUUUGGUCCCUUAAUUAAUUUCAAAUUUUCAUUUUGGUCCCAUAAGUAAUAAAAUUCAUGUUUUGGUCCCUUAAUUGUCUCUCCGUCGGUCAAAGAAAUCCUGAAUAUUAAGUUUAACCCCAAAUAUCUCUUGUGGAUCAACAUUAUAUGUGGUCCACCAUUGACCUUAUUAAUUUGGUUGGUUUAAACCAUCCAUGUUUAUUAAUUAUAUCAGUCUUUCUGUACUGAAUUGGUAUGGAAAAAAAUUAUUAGUAGGUACUGAUGUAUGGAAAAAUAUUAUCAGUAAAUACUAUUAUUGGUGUUUCAUUUUGGACGUCUAGAAAUAUGGCGUUUUGUUUGUAAGACUAACAAAGAAUAUUAUUACUAUUUACCAUUGUCAUAGUAGUCUAUCUUUUUUUACUAUCUAAAAAUAUUGAUCCAUAGUCAUUGUUUGCUUAGAUUUACUAUAUAUGAAUUAAAAAUAAUAGAGUUUUGCUAUAUCAAGCGAACAAGCAUGUUUGGAAUUCAUAACGAAGGAGAAAUCAGCGAAUGAAAAAAGAGAGUUGUGUGAAAAUCAAGGGAAGCUGCUGCAAAUAAAGCGGCAAUCCACAAUAAAAACCAACUGAAAUACAUGGUCGGGAUGAUUUCUCUAUAAUAACUUUCGCUAUAAAUAGCAUUUUUGAAAAUAAUGUUAUCAGUAUUUAACAUUAUAAAUCUGAUUAGUAUUAAUAAAUAUAAUUAAGCAAUACAGCGUUGUCCCGUGCGUUGCAAGGUACUCCGACUAGUUUUAUACAUGCAUUAUCUUGAAAUAUACUAUUUAUUGCUUCUCCCCAAUGGCGGAGCAUAAGCUUGUUGAGAUUUCAGAAAUGGCAGAGCAAAAGCUUAUUGAGCAAGCUCUUGUUUCUCCAUCAACACCAAGAACAACAACAACUUCUCUUCCUCUCACAUUCCUUGACUUGCCUUUUGCAGGUCCAGUCUAUGUUGAACGCUUAUUCUUCUAUCACUUUCCACAUUCAACAACCCAUUUUUGUAAAACAACACUUCCAUCUCUCAAACACUCUCUUUCUCUUACUCUUCAACAUUUCUUCCCUCUAGCUGGAAAUCUUCAAUGUCCUCCACAACCCCACAAACCUUUUAUUCUUUGCACUCAAAAUGACUCUGUCGCUUUUACCAUCGUCGAAUCCUCGGCAGAUUUCAACCAUCUAUCAACCAAUCACCACCCCAAAAAUCUUAAAGACUAUAAUUAUCUU